AUCCAAUUUGGACCUGAUAUCAGACAAGACUACCCG
This 36-nucleotide ribosomal RNA is filed under the name Aphanomyces invadans. RNAcentral's name for it is "partial 28S ribosomal RNA". Lineage: Eukaryota; Oomycota; Saprolegniomycetes; Saprolegniales; Verrucalvaceae. The record is from RNAcentral.